Molecule: ribosomal RNA, 301 nt
Filed under: uncultured bacterium
Lineage: Bacteria
Description: partial 16S ribosomal RNA
Rfam family: Bacterial small subunit ribosomal RNA
Source: RNAcentral
CAGUCGCCGCGGUAAUACGAAGGGUGCAAGCGUUAAUCGGAAUUACUGGGCGUAAAGCGUGCGUAGGCGGUUUGUUAAGUCUGUUGUGAAAUCCCCGGGCUCAACCUGGGAAUGGCAAUGGAUACUGGCAAGCUAGAGUGUGUCAGAGGAUGGUGGAAUUCCCGGUGUAGCGGUGAAAUGCGUAGAGAUCAGGAGGAACAUCAGUGGCGAAGGCGGCCAUCUGGGACAACACUGACGCUGAGGCACGAAAGCGUGGGGAGCAAACAGGAUUAGAUACCCCCGUAGUCCCUGUCUCUUAUAC